Molecule: non-coding RNA, 30 nt
Filed under: Mus musculus (house mouse)
Lineage: Eukaryota; Metazoa; Chordata; Mammalia; Rodentia; Muridae
Source: RNAcentral
UUGGAAGUUGCUUGAAGUUCAAAUGGUGAC